This 425-nucleotide unclassified non-coding RNA is filed under the name Hevea brasiliensis (rubber tree). Lineage: Eukaryota; Viridiplantae; Streptophyta; Magnoliopsida; Malpighiales; Euphorbiaceae. The record is from RNAcentral.
CGCUCCAUCAAGCACCCAAAUUCCUCAUACUGUUUUCAUAAACUCACACUCAUAAUACAGUAAUGAUAACAAUAACAACAGAGUCCUAACUUUGGAGCCGCUUGACUUACAGAAAUAUACGUUGACCUAAUAAGAAAGUAACAAAAGGUGUGAAAUCCCACAAAAAUUUUGAUGGGUUUUCCAGUUCGUGGAAAAGGGAAAUUUUGAGAAGGUUUUAUUUGUGUUUGGCGAGAUUUUGAGAGCUAGAAUGAAAUAAAAGAGAAAAUUUGGGAAGCUUGAAAAUAACAAGGGAAGAGUUUUUGCAGAGUAUUAUUUGGUUUGGAUUUGGGUUUGGGUUUAAGGUCAUUGAUUGGAAGUAGGCUAGUUACUACAAGUUGCAGCUUGAAUAAGGAAGGCGCCAGUCAAUGGGAAUACCUUUAUAAGUC